UUUUCAUGGUCAAUUACAGGUCGUUUCUUAGGUGCAAAAUGAUGAUUCGUCCGUUUAUGUUAGUCCCACCCACAAUGUUAUGUUUACGACCUAAGGAUAUAGUAAAAUGCGGGCGUUUGUGAAGUUAAAUUUGAAAUUAGCCGAGUUAAGCAAACAUAAAUCAGAUCAAUUAAAAGUAAAAAAAAAAAAAAAAAGUAAAAGUAUUAGCAAUAAAUCCGGACCGUCUACAAAUGAAACCCGACAGACCACCUGAGGGUGCUGGAUUUAUCGAUCAGAAACUUCUGAACCAAGUGUGUUUGAAGCAUCAUAUUAGCAUAACAUUACAGUGUUUGAUCCGCUAAACAGAUGCGUCCUUUGUGGAAAGAAACACAGAAACAUUGUGCUAGAUCCUAUUCAAACUGAAUAAUUUGCACAUUAUCUGCGCACAUUUCUGCGGUCCUCGAUGUGUGAACUGACAGAGACGUUUGAUUAUGAAAUCAUCAACGAAGCCCAGUUGUUUCACACUGAGUUUUCAUAUGCUGCACACCUGGCCCACCCACUUAAACAUUUCUGGCUACGCUAGUGGUCUAUGGUUUAGCUUAUGAGACUGUCACGUGAUGAACGAACGACUCAAACCCGAAGACUUGUCAGAUAAGAGGUGAGGUGACCUAUUCGUAGACUAAAGACCCAGGUAAACAAUGAAUUAAUCUUUUCUGUUUCUUAUACAUUAUAGUUUUGUAUUGUUUGUAGUGUGAUCAACGUUUGCAUACAUAGUAGAUGUGUUAGGGAAGUAGCACGUAACAUUUGAAUUAUAUUUUGCUAAAAUGAACGAAAUGACUCGAAAAAAGAUUCGUUCAUUUUGCUGAACGAGACUCAAAGGUCAGAGUCAGUAAAAUGAUCCGAACUUCCCAUCACUAGUGAUCAGUAAACACUGGGACAACUGAUCAAUCAAUUUGUAAAACGUCACCAUUUAUCAACAAUAGGCAGGACCGUUAUAUUUUGAUAUUAUUUUAUGCUAUUUGAGGUAACUUAGCCCUAUAAUAUGAAAUGUACAUGUUCUAUUACAAAUCCAGUCAACAUCAAUGGUCCCUGUUGUGCAAUGGAUUGUGGAAUGAAUUUGUGCCAAAAAAAAAAAAAAAAAGGUUGCAACUUCUGUUUAAUCAAAUAUUUAAUUAACUGAUAUUGAUACAUUGUAAAUUAUUUAAAAGCCAUCAUUUCAUUUUUUUUAACUUAAAAUGUACUUUUCUUUCUCCAUCAGGGUGUGGCCAAAGGUUUAAGUGGUGCUUUGUUAUUGUUGCAAGAUUACAGAUGCAACCCAGUCAGUUCUUCCAAGGCACCAAACACUAGCUCUUGACCAGACCGCUCCACUGCAACUACAUACUGUGUGUACCGUCAAAACUAGGAGUUUAUUGUUUUCAUUCCAGGUGAAUGUAGCCACCCAGAUCCAGUACGUAUCCAGAUCAGAUGGUGGAUCAACACCUAGAGAUGACCUCUACAGCCCUGAAUGUCAGCGGAGACCAUGUCAGCUAGAUGAGCCCCAGAGACUGAUCCCCUCCAAAGACCUUGUUGGCCAUCGGGACAAGACCACGAGAACCAGAUAAGUCCUCUGCUCAGUCUGACCUGUGUUGCAGCCUAGAAUUAAACUACGCCAUGCUGGUUUCGUCUGGCCAGAGGAGAACUGCCCCCCCUCGGCUGAGCCUGGUUUCUCCCAAGGUUUUCUACUCGAUCUCUGUCACCGAUGGAGUUUUGGGUCCUUGCCGCUGUCACCUUUGGCUUGCUUAUUUGGGGACACUUGGCUGAUUGCACAGACAUUAUUAGAAGAGAACUAAACUGGAUGAUGUUGACACUGAAUCACCAAUGAACUGACUUUAACUGGAAAAAUGACUUGUUAAUGUCCUCUUGCAUUAUUGACAAACUAUUUUCCUCUUUGACUCUGUAAAGCUGCUUUGACACAAAUCAGUAUUGUAUAAAGCGCUAUGUAAAUAAAGGUGACUUGAUUUGAUUUUAUAUACUGUAACACCUGGUUCAUUAUAUUAUUUAUUUAUUUCUUUUUUACUUCUGCCUCAUUUUAAAGAUAUAAUUGCAAACAGUAAUAAUAUUUGUAAAAGUUUGUUUGCUAACAUUUAGUUUAGCUUGUUUAGUUUUUUCUUAGUUCUUAGUUCACACAAAGUUUAAACUGAAUUUUGCAGUUGUAUUACAGAUGUAAUGUGUGUCAACUGGAGCUUUAAAGGGAUAGUUCACCCAAAAAUGAAAAUUUGCUGUUAAUUUACUGACCCUUAGGCCAGUACAUCUUAAGAUGUAGGUGACUUUUUUUUUCUUUCAUUCCUGUAUGUUUAGUUUGUAUGAAAAAUUGUA
This is a long non-coding RNA of Onychostoma macrolepis, 2334 nucleotides long. RefSeq lists it as uncharacterized. The record is from RefSeq and is a predicted model, not a curated record. Lineage: Eukaryota; Metazoa; Chordata; Actinopteri; Cypriniformes; Cyprinidae. The transcript has 4 exons.